AGAGAGAGACAUGCGCGCAUAUCAAUAAGCGGAGGAAAAGAAACUAACAAGGAUUCCCUUAGUAACGGCGAGUGAAGCGGGAAGAGCUCAAAUUUGAAAUCUUCAAGGUUUUACCUUGACGAAUUGUAGUUUAAAGAAGUGUUUUCUGCUGAAGUUUUGGUAAAAGUUCUUUGGAAUAGGACAUCAUAGAGGGUGAGAAUCCCGUAUUUGACCAUUAUUUCCAGCUUUGUGAUACACUUUCAAAGAGUCGGAUUGUUUGGGAAUGCAGUCCAAAAUGGGUGGUAAAUUUCAUCUAAAGCUAAAUAUUGGCGAGAGACCGAUAGCGAACAAGUACCGUGAGGGAAAGAUGAAAAGAACUUUGAAAAGAGAGUUAAACAGUACGUGAAAUUGUCAAAGGGAAGCGUUUGACACCAGUGUUGUUUUCUCGAAAAUCAAUUAAAAAUGGCUCGAUUUUGUAUUGUUGAGACCUUAAAAGCUCACUGUACAUUUUUCGUGUCUUUUUUAAUGCACUUUUCGUUUAACAAGUCAACAGUCAGUUUCUUUUGUUGUAAAAGGGUCAUUGGAAGGUGGCUUUCUUUUCGGAGAAAGUGUUUAUAGCCUUUGGCCUCUGCAAUCGGAGAGACUGAGGUCUGCAGCGUAGACUCUUCGGGGUUAGAUACAUUUGUGCUAAGUUAUAGCUUUUUAUAGACAACUUGUUGACUAUAAUUAGUCUUGUAGCUUACUCGCUUAUGCUAUUUUACCUACGCUUAGGAUGUUGAAGAUGUAGCACAUCAU
RNAcentral lists this ribosomal RNA (774 nucleotides) under uncultured Neocallimastigales. RNAcentral's name for it is "partial large subunit ribosomal RNA". It matches the Rfam family "Eukaryotic large subunit ribosomal RNA", at positions 23 to 620 of the family's 3401-position model. The record is from RNAcentral. Lineage: Eukaryota; Fungi; Neocallimastigomycota; Neocallimastigomycetes; Neocallimastigales.